GGAUUAGAAACCCGGGUAGUCCACGCCGUAAACUAUGGAUGCUAGCUGUUGGAGGUAUCGACCCCUUCUGUAGCGAAGCUAACGCGUUAAGCAUCCCGCCUGUGCAGUACGAUCGCAAGAUUAAAACAUAAAGGAAUUGACGGGGACCCGCACAAGCGGUGGAGCGUGUUCUUUAAUUCGAUGAUAAACGAAGAACCUUACCAGGGCUUGACAUCCCUUGAAUUUUGUCGAAAGACGAGAGUGCUUUAUUGAACAAGGUGACAGGUGAUGCAUGGCCGUCGUCAGCUCGUGUCGUGAGAUGUUUGGUUAAGUCCAUUAACGAGCGCAACCCUUAUGAAUAGCUGGAUUUUUC
This 352-nucleotide ribosomal RNA is filed under the name uncultured bacterium. RNAcentral describes it as "bacterial SSU rRNA". It matches the Rfam family "Bacterial small subunit ribosomal RNA", at positions 775 to 1125 of the family's 1533-position model. The record is from RNAcentral.